This 252-nucleotide ribosomal RNA is filed under the name uncultured bacterium. RNAcentral's name for it is "partial 16S ribosomal RNA". It matches the Rfam family "Bacterial small subunit ribosomal RNA", at positions 524 to 776 of the family's 1533-position model. The record is from RNAcentral.
UACGGAGGAUGCGAGCGUUAUCCGGAUUUAUUGGGUUUAAAGGGUGCGUAGGCGGGCUGUUAAGUCAGCGGUAAAAGCCCGGGGCUCAACCCCGGCGAGCCGUUGAAACUGGCUGUCUUGAGAUGUCGAGAGGUAUGCGGAAUGCGCAGUGUAGCGGUGAAAUGCUUAGAUAUUGCGCAGAACUCCGAUUGCGAAGGCAGCAUACCGGCGGCGAUCUGACGCUGAGGCACGAAAGCGUGGGUAUCGAACAGG